GGCGUGGCUCAGUGGUAGAGCAGCUGCUUUGCAUGCAGAAGGUCCCAGGUUCAAUCCCCAGCAUCUCCA
This is a non-coding RNA of Podarcis lilfordi (Lilford's wall lizard), 69 nucleotides long. Lineage: Eukaryota; Metazoa; Chordata; Lepidosauria; Squamata; Lacertidae. The record is from the annotation of a GenBank genome assembly.